AAUCAACGCUGGCGGCGUGCCUAACACAUGCAAGUCGAACGGGAAAGUGGAGCAAUCCAUGAGUAUAGUGGCGACCGGGUGAGUAACACGUGACUACCUGCCCUUGAGUGGGGGAUAACCUCGGGAAACCGAGGCUAAUACCGCAUAAUAUCGAAAGAUCAAAGGAGCAAUCCGCUUUUGGAGGGGGUCGCGGCUGAUUAGCUAGUUGGUGAGGUAAUGGCUCACCAAGGCGAAGAUCGGUAUCCGGCCUGAGAGGGCGCACGGACACACUGGAACU
This 277-nucleotide ribosomal RNA is filed under the name uncultured bacterium. RNAcentral's name for it is "partial 16S ribosomal RNA". It matches the Rfam family "Bacterial small subunit ribosomal RNA", at positions 32 to 320 of the family's 1533-position model. The record is from RNAcentral.